This 69-nucleotide transfer RNA is filed under the name Hydropsyche simulata. RNAcentral describes it as "tRNA-Cys". Lineage: Eukaryota; Metazoa; Arthropoda; Insecta; Trichoptera; Hydropsychidae. The record is from RNAcentral.
AGUUUUAUAUUCUAAAUUUUAAGAAAUUAAGUUGCAAACUUGAAAAUAUAAAGUAAUUUGUUAAGACUU